UUAAAAAGCUCGUAGUUGAACCUUGGGCCUGGCUGAUCUGUCCUCCUAAUCGAGCGCACGGAUUCGGUCGGGCCUUUCCUUCUGGGGAGCCCGAUGUCCUUCACUGGGCGUCGUGGGGAACCAGGACUUUUACCUUGAAAAAAUUAGAGUGUUCAAAGCAGGCCUUUGCUCGAAUACAUUAGCAUGGAAUAAUAGAAUAGGACAGAGGUUCUAUUUUGUUGGUUUCUAGGACCGCUGUAAUGAUUAAUAGGGAUAGUCGGGGG
Molecule: ribosomal RNA, 263 nt
Filed under: uncultured Ascomycota
Lineage: Eukaryota; Fungi; Ascomycota
Description: partial 18S ribosomal RNA
Rfam family: Eukaryotic small subunit ribosomal RNA
Source: RNAcentral